GGCUCCUGAAAUCCUCUGGUGUGAACUUCUCUCCCAGGGCUGUUGGUGCAGCAUCCACUCUUCUGGCAGUGGGCGCCUGGACCUUAGUUACCCGGGGAGCGUGAGUCAUGUUGCCAUAGUUGAGCUGGCACAUAAAACUGCGAGGACAGAGAUCCAAGGAGUAGACCAACUUACCUGAGUUCACACAGUGGACCUGGGUCUUUCACCUCCCAGCGCAAUGUUCCUAUGUCCUGCCACUGAAGAGACAGGUGGGAGGGAGCUCAAGGUUGGCUUGCCUAACAACCAUUGCUUGAAAGACAAAGCUCCCAAGGAGAGCACAAGAUACCUCACUCAAGACUGCUCUGCAUCACCAGCCAGUGUGAACAGAGCCUGCGGCUGUCAGCA
This 384-nucleotide long non-coding RNA is filed under the name Mus pahari (shrew mouse). RNAcentral describes it as "lncRNA (MGP_PahariEiJ_G0003508.1)". The record is from RNAcentral. Lineage: Eukaryota; Metazoa; Chordata; Mammalia; Rodentia; Muridae.